This 92-nucleotide transfer RNA is filed under the name Paenibacillus cisolokensis. RNAcentral's name for it is "tRNA-Gly". The record is from RNAcentral. Lineage: Bacteria; Bacillati; Bacillota; Bacilli; Caryophanales; Paenibacillaceae.
ACGCCGGCGAGGCGCUGGAGAUCAUUCGCCUUGCCGAGGCGAACGGCGUGCCGGUGAUGAGCAGCUCCGCGCUCCGCUUCGCGGAAGGCGUG